GUGAAUCAUCGAAUCUUUGAACGCAAAUUGCACUCUCUGGUACUCCGGAGAGUAUGCCUGUUUGAGGGUCAGUUUAAAUAAAAAUCGGUGUGGUUGCUGCCUUUCGUGGUGACGCACCGGAUGUGGGUCGUCUUGCCUUCGGUUAGGUGACCUAAAAUUUUGCAUGAUUUUUUUGAAAGUUUUUAAAUGGAUUUUAGUUAGUUUGGCGUUUUGAAAUAUUGGU
RNAcentral lists this unclassified non-coding RNA (223 nucleotides) under Glomus sp. RNAcentral's name for it is "partial contains 5.8S ribosomal RNA and internal transcribed spacer 2". The stretch from base 1 to 71 matches the Rfam family "5.8S ribosomal RNA", at positions 84 to 154 of the family's 154-position model. Lineage: Eukaryota; Fungi; Glomeromycota; Glomeromycetes; Glomerales; Glomeraceae. The record is from RNAcentral.